AGUGAACGCUGGCGGUAGGCCUAACACAUGCAAGUCGAACGGCAGCACAGGAGAGCUUGCUCUCUGGGUGGCGAGUGGCGGACGGGUGAGGAAUACAUCGGAAUCUACUUUUUCGUGGGGGAUAACGUAGGGAAACUUACGCUAAUACCGCAUACGACCUACGGGUGAAAGCAGGGGAUCUUCGGACCUUGCGCGAUUGAAUGAGCCGAUGUCGGAUUAGCUAGUUGGCGGGGUAAAGGCCCACCAAGGCGACGAUCCGUAGCUGGCAUGAGAGGAUGAUCAGCCACACUGGAACUGGGACGCGGUCCAGACUCCUACGGGAGGCAGCAGUGGGGAAGAUUGGACAAUGGGCGCAAGCCUGAUCCAGCCAUACCGCGUGGGUGAAGAAGGCCUUCGGGUUGUAAAGCCCUUUUGUUGGGAAAGAAAUCCAGCUGGUUAAUACCCGGUUGGGAUGAUGGUACCCAAAGAAUAAGCACCGGCUAACUUCGUGCCAGCCGCCGCAGUAA
RNAcentral lists this ribosomal RNA (506 nucleotides) under uncultured bacterium. RNAcentral describes it as "partial 16S ribosomal RNA". It matches the Rfam family "Bacterial small subunit ribosomal RNA", at positions 29 to 523 of the family's 1533-position model. The record is from RNAcentral.